GCGUGGUGUUUGCAACGCAUGGUGUUUGCAACGCCAGGGUUGUGGGUUCGAUUCCCAC
This 58-nucleotide transfer RNA is filed under the name Salmo salar (Atlantic salmon). The record is from Rfam by way of RNAcentral. Lineage: Eukaryota; Metazoa; Chordata; Actinopteri; Salmoniformes; Salmonidae.